This 206-nucleotide long non-coding RNA is filed under the name Lathyrus oleraceus (garden pea). RNAcentral's name for it is "Pisum sativum (pea) long non-coding RNA (PSAT_LNC004537)". Lineage: Eukaryota; Viridiplantae; Streptophyta; Magnoliopsida; Fabales; Fabaceae. The record is from RNAcentral.
UAUUUUAACUUUAAUUAUAAUAUUGAAACUGUCUUUAUUUAAAUAAUUUAUUUUUUUAUUUUUUUUAAUUUCUCUUAUUCUAUAUCACUCGUGAAAAUAUUUAUGAAUGUGUAGUUAAAAUUUGAUGAAAGAUUAAAUUGACAUAACUACUAAUAAUAUGUUUGGUUGAUAAGAAGAAAGUUAUAGGAAAAAUGUAAAAGAAAAGA